Molecule: long non-coding RNA, 585 nt
Organism: Gasterosteus aculeatus aculeatus (three-spined stickleback)
Lineage: Eukaryota; Metazoa; Chordata; Actinopteri; Perciformes; Gasterosteidae
Source: Ensembl
GACGCGGCCUUCCAGGAGCUUAAGCGGCGCUUCACUACAGCACCCAUCCUCACGCUCCCUGAUCCGGCUCGCCAGUUUGUGGUGGAGGUGGACGCCUCCAAUAAUGGGAUCGGGGCCAUUCUCUCCCAGCGAGCAGAGUCUGACAACAAGCUUCAUCCGUGUGCCUUCCUGUCGCGACGACUAACUGCAGCGGAGCGGAACUACGACGUGGGAGAUCGUGAGCUGCUGGCAGUGAAGGCGGCGCUGGAGGAGUGGCGGCACUGGCUCGAGGGGGCACAGCACCCUUUUUUGGUUUGGACAGACCACAAGAACCUGCAACCGGGAUCAAGAAAUACCAAGCCUGACGCCUUAUCCCGUCUUUUCAGCCCGGAGCCCGUGGCCAGGGAACCUGAGCCCAUCCUCCCACUACACUGUGUGGUUGGAGCGGUUACCUGGCCUAUAGAGACCAAGGUGAAGCAGGCCAACGGUCCCUUGCCCUUCCUCAUGUGUCACCAGUCUGAUUGUCUCCCCUGAUUCCUGAUUGUGUCCACCUGUUCCCACAACUCCCUCAUGGGUACUUAUAGUCUGCGUCGCCCCUUGUCCUGU